Molecule: non-coding RNA, 194 nt
Filed under: Pseudomonas sp.
Lineage: Bacteria; Pseudomonadati; Pseudomonadota; Gammaproteobacteria; Pseudomonadales; Pseudomonadaceae
Also listed under: 1 other name
Source: RNAcentral
AGCCUUCCGUCCUUUCGAGGUUCUCCAGCGAGCGCUGGAGCUAAGAGGGAACGUGGUCCAAGCCACGGCUGCCCCCGCAACUGUAAGCAGCUGAUGCCCUGUCCACAGCCACUGCCCACGGGCGGGAAGGCGGACCCGGCGGCGCCCCGCGCCAGGCUGCGAGCCAGGAGACCUGCCUCGGCGAAUUUCCAGAC